CGCUGCUUCCUUGGUUUAGUGUUGCCUGUGUUGUGCCCGAAAGCAGUGUUGUAGAUUUUAUUGCGCUGUGCCCGUAAUCAUUGAGUGACCGCCCUGUGCGUGUGUUGCCGCGUCAGGAAGGGAGUGUUGCGUCUCCAGGAGGGUCUUCCCCUUCCGAGUUGCGUCUGCGCUUGCUUCCUUCGUCAGGCACCUCCCGCCUCACUCCUUGCUUCCUCCCGUCUCCCAGAGUCUACACACCUGCACUCUUGAGGAGUUAGCAGCCAACGGCGUUAGGUUGCCAGGUGGACGAGUAGGGCCGAGUGGUGUCAACGUGAGGGCAGUGUAGCUGAUCGUGUGGAAAGUGGGGUGCCAACUCCACUGGUUCUAAUUACAAGUCUGGUUGUAGUGCCGGACUGGAGCAACAAAUAUGCCCAUUGGAUCGAGAAUGUGUAGUGCACUGAUGUGGGUAAUGUGAACUGGAAAUAUAAAUAAGGAUUGAGACAAAAUGGUAUAUUAUGUUCCUUGUUACGUGGCACGGCUUCCUAUAAUCUCCGGCUACUCCUAAUUACGAGUAGAUGCCUGCCUUUCAGUGUGGUCAACGCCACGACACACCAGGUUUCCUUUAACAUUCUCUCUCUCUCUCUCUCUCUCUCUCUCUCUCUCUCUCUCUCUCUCUCUCUCUCUCUCUCUCUCUCUCUCUCUGUAAAACAAUAUAAAAAUCGAUAACAGCAACAACAGCAACAACAACAAGCCCAGCUCCACACCAUCUGGUUCACCACCACCACAGCCCCAACACAACAGCAACACAACCACAGCCGUUAACACCUGUACCACCACCACCACCACCACAGCCCCAACACAACAGCAACACAACCACAGCCGUUAACACCUGUACUACCACCACCACCACCACCACCAUAACACAAAGUACAAAACAAACUCGUGCAGGAAAUUAAAUCUGAAGUGUGAUCGGAUUUAUAUAGUUUUUCCUCUACUUUAUUUCCUCUUUCGUAUUUCCUCUCUCGUAACAAAUCGCUACUGUACUUUUUGUUUUGUUUUUAUCUCUUCUUUUUCCUACUACUUCCUCUUCUUCCAUUUUCCACUUACUCCUUCCUUCUGCCCAAUUUAUUCACGUGGAUUCUCCCCUUUUUUCCCCCCUUUUUCAUUCACUAUCAUUCAUUUCCUUCUUCCUUUUCAUAAUCAACACGUUUUCGCUUCCACUCAAUGCCUCUUUCCCUUUUACACAUCCAUUGUUAUUCAUUAUUUUCCUUUCUCUCAUCGAUUCUCUCCUUCCCUCUUCUUCUUUCAUUCUUUCUUUCUUUCUUCACUGCAAUUCCUUCCUUCCUUUUCCUUACAUUCAUUCAUUCUUGUUUUCCUCUCCCCAUUCGCGCCUUCCUUCCCUCCUCCACACUCCUUCGCUUUCCUUCCUUUCUCCUGCACCUUUCUCUCUCUUGCACCCUUUCAUUCGUUUCUCUUGCCCAGUCUCACACUACAUAUUCCCUCUUUUUCACCUUAUUCCUUCCUUCCUCUCUUCUUUCCUCUACAUUCUUUUACUCCUUUCCUUGCUUUACACUCCUUCCUCCUAUUACCCUCUACCACUCUCACUCUUCCCUUCUUUCCCCUCUUCUUCCCCCUCGUUCUUUCCUCUUGUGCGCUCAUAUCUUGCAUUCUGUUCUCUCUGCACCCACUACACCUCUUCCACCUCCUGCUCCACUUCCCUCCUUCAGCUCUGCAUUAUUUCGCUUCUCACCUUCUUUCUUCCCUUCAGUAAUUGCUCCACACAGACGCCAUGUGGGUUAAGCGUGGAGGAGGAAGAGGAGGAGGAGGAGGAAGUGGUGGUGGUGGUGGAGUCCUUUGUAAGGCUUCUACACACCUGUUUAGGCUAUUGAUGUAUGUGCGUGGCUGGUGAGACAAGAGGGAUCAAAUCAGAUAAUGAGGGAUAGACAGUGGGGUUGAAAGAAGAAGUAGUAGAGGUUGGGUGAAGAACAGUGACAGAAGUAUGAGAAUGAAAUAUGACAGAAAUGCCGUCUUGUCUGCGUCACAGGUGUUUCAGUUCAUUUAGUUUUCUAAAAUAAUAGUACAACAGUUGUAUUAUUCAUAUAUUGGUUCAGGUAAGGCUUUUCGAAAUGUGUUUACUGGUUUCCUGAAGAGGCGAUGUUCAUUUUCUUCUGCUGGAGUUGUGUUUAUGUACGUGGCGUCCUUGAGUAUGUGCGUCAGUUUGUGAUGUACUUGUUUUCCUCUCAUAUAAAAUAUUGUAUUAAUUGGUUCCAUUUUUGCUUGUGUGUGCAGUUCCUCCGGUGUGUGGGGAUGUUUCGUUGUAGGCGAAGCGGAGUGGAAAAGUGUGUGUGUGUGUGUGUGAGAGAGAGAGAGAGAGAGAGAGAGAGAGAGAGAGAGAGAGAGAGAGAGAGAGAGAGAGAGAGAGAGAGAGAGAGAGAGAGAGAGAGAGAGAGAGAGAGAGAGAGAGAGAGAGAGAGAGAGAGAGAGAGAGACAGAGUGAGGGGACAGGGGAAGCAGACGGGCAGACAGACAGACAACCAUACAUACAAACAGGCAUGCAGACAGACAGAGACCGGCAACCUCCUCCCCCUACACACACACACACACACACACACACACACACAUACACACACACACACAGGUAUAUAAAGAACACAGGCUUCUCCACCGACCUUGAUGGAACGUUUUGUGGUGAAAAGUUGAGAAUUUCCAAAGGUAUCACUGACUGGAGAGGUGUAAUGAAGUGGACUCUUGGUUUUCUUUAGUCCAAUGGCUUCUCCACCAACCUUGAUAGGACGCAGUGUAAGUGUUGUCGAUUAUUUUCUUAGUCGCUAAUGACAAAAAGAGUAAUGAGUUCCAGAAAUUGUCUUUUUUUUCCCCUGCGAGGUUAAUGAAAUGUGGCUGUGGAGGUGAAGCAUGCAUUCUUCAAACACUACUGACAUUAAAAGAAGUAUUCGAGUUCUUGGAGUUGUUCUCAUGUCUACAGUCAGUUUUUACUGUUGUGGUUCCUGCCUUCGACUUUAAUAGAAUGUUGUGGCGUAAGAGAAAUAUAUUUUUUUUUCAAACGCCACUGACAUCAAGAACAGUUAUCGAGUUUUUGAAUGAAAUAUUUUAACACCAGCAGUUAUUUAUUUAUUUAUUUAUUUAUUUAUUUUUUUUAGUUUUGGCUUCUCAUGCUUGGUAGUGUGUCGUGGUGCAGGUGAACACAAUGGUCUGUUUUUUGUAUGAAAUGUGUAUUAUAAAAUAGGGUAAGUAAAGUUUUUUUUUAAUGUAUUCAUGUAAACAACAAAUCUACGUAUUUUUUUUAUUUCUAUUAAAUAAUUAAAGUAUUUUUUUAAUGUAUUCAUGUAAACAACAAAUCUACGUAUUUUUUUCUAUUAAAUAAUAAUAAUAACAAUAAUAAUAAUAAUAAUAAUAAUAACAAUAAUUCUCUCUCUCUCUCUCUCUCUCUCUCUCUCUCUCUCUCUCUCUCUGGAACACUACCACUGCCAGUAAAAAGAGUAAUCGAGUUGUUGAAGUACUUAAAUGCCUGAAGUUGUAUGAUUUUACUGGUUCUUGCCACGACUGAUGGCCUUGGAAUAAGCGAAGAGAACAACUUGGAGCAGCACCGCAAACACUAAAAGCAGCAGACGAAUAGUUCAAACCUCUCAGCGGCUCUUGUUUUCAUAUCUGCUCAGUGAGGGUGGCUGGAGUAAACCGAUAGCUGGAACAUUCGACCACCUGAACAAUUCGUAAUACUGAAAAAAUUAACUGGAAUAUGACUGAACCAAUUCCAUCACUCCUAAUGCACAAAAGAAACCGAAAAAUAUGAUGUAGUUGGUGAAAGACUUGCCCAACAUACUUAGGGUCUCACUGGAUGAACUUGAAAUUAUUGCUACGAGUAAUGAGAGAGAGAGAGAGAGAGAGAGAGAGAGAGAGAGAGAGAGAGAGAGAGAGAGAGAGAGAGAGAGAGAGAGAGAGAGA
Long non-coding RNA from Scylla paramamosain (green mud crab), 3939 nucleotides. RefSeq lists it as uncharacterized. Lineage: Eukaryota; Metazoa; Arthropoda; Malacostraca; Decapoda; Portunidae. The record is from RefSeq and is a predicted model, not a curated record. The transcript has 4 exons.